RNAcentral lists this ribosomal RNA (313 nucleotides) under Arcyria minuta. RNAcentral's name for it is "eukaryotic LSU rRNA". The stretch from base 1 to 133 matches the Rfam family "5.8S ribosomal RNA", at positions 22 to 154 of the family's 154-position model. The record is from RNAcentral. Lineage: Eukaryota; Evosea; Eumycetozoa; Trichiida; Trichiidae.
UGGUUCUGGCAUCGAUGAAGAACGCAGCCAAAUGCGAUACGUAGUGUGAAUUGCAGAAUUAAGUGAAUCAUCGAAUCUUUGAACGCACAUUCCGCCCUUUGGUAUUCCAAAGGGCAUGCCUGUUCGUGCGUCAUUUGUACCCUCAAGCUUUGCUUGGUGUUGGGCGUCUCGUCUCUCACGAGACUCGCCUUAAAAUGAUUGGCAGCCGACCUACUGGUUUCGGAGCGCAGCACAAUUCUUGCACUUUGAAUCAGCCUUGGUUGAGCAUCCAUCAAGACCCUAUUUUUUAACUUUCGACCUCGGACCAGGUAGG